UACCAGCUCUCCGAGUGGUAGGGAUGUUUAUUGGGCUUAAAGCGUCCGUAGCCGGCUUAGCAAGUCUCCUGUUAAAUUCAGCGACCUAAUCGUUGAGCCGCGGGAGAUACUACUAGGCUAGGAGGCGGGAGAGGUCAACGGUGCUUCCGGGGUAGGGGUGAAAUCCUAUAAUCCCGGGAGGACCACCAGUGGCGAAGGCUGUUGACUAGAACGCGCUCGACGGUGAGGGACGAAAGCUGGGGGAGCGAACCGGAUUAGAUACCCGGGUAGUCCCAGCUGUAAACGAUGCGAGCUAGGUGUUGGGGUGGCUACGUGCCACUUCAGUGCCGCAGGGAAGCCAUUAAGCUCGCCGCCUGGGGAGUACGGCCGCAAGGCUGAAACUUAAAGGAAUUGGCGGGGAGCACCACAAGGCGUGAAGCUUGCGGUUC
RNAcentral lists this ribosomal RNA (428 nucleotides) under uncultured archaeon. RNAcentral describes it as "bacterial SSU rRNA". It matches the Rfam family "Archaeal small subunit ribosomal RNA", at positions 474 to 903 of the family's 1478-position model. The record is from RNAcentral.